CCUACGGGAGGCAGCAGUGGGGAAUAUUGGACAAUGGGCGAAAGCCUGAUCCAGCAAUGCCGCGUGAGUGAUGAAGGCCUUAGGGUCGUAAAGCUCUUUUACCAGGGAUGAUAAUGACAGUACCUGGAGAAUAAGCUCCGGCUAACUCCGUGCCAGCAGCCGCGGUAAUACGGAGGGAGCUAGCGUUGUUCGGAAUUACUGGGCGUAAAGCGUGCGUAGGCGGUUAUUCAAGUCAGAGGUGAAAGCCCGGGGCUCAACCCCGGAACGGCCUUUGAAACUAGAUAACUAGAAUCUUGGAGAGGUCAGUGGAAUUCCGAGUGUAGAGGUGAAAUUCGUAGAUAUUCGGAAGAACACCAGUGGCGAAGGCGACUGACUGGACAAGUAUUGACGCUGAGGUACGAAAGCGUGGGGAGCAAACAGGAUUAGAUACCCGUGGUAGUCCACGCCGUAAACGAUGAUAACUAGCUGUCCGGACACUUGGUGUUUGGGUGGCGCAGCUAACGCAUUAAGUUAUCCGCCUGGGGAGUACGGUCGCAAGAUUAAAACUCAAAGGAAUUGACG
RNAcentral lists this ribosomal RNA (561 nucleotides) under uncultured bacterium. RNAcentral's name for it is "bacterial SSU rRNA". It matches the Rfam family "Bacterial small subunit ribosomal RNA", at positions 338 to 915 of the family's 1533-position model. The record is from RNAcentral.